This is an RNA transcript of Juglans microcarpa x Juglans regia, 1116 nucleotides long. It is a transcript of the gene named bidirectional sugar transporter SWEET17-like, with no coding region annotated. NCBI's taxonomy places the organism in Eukaryota, Viridiplantae, Streptophyta, Magnoliopsida, Fagales, Juglandaceae. The record is from RefSeq and is a predicted model, not a curated record. The transcript has 8 exons.
CUCUGUAAAGUUACUGACUGAGAGGAAUUUACAUCUGUUUUACACCUCGACCUCUCUAUCUAGCUCCCUUAAAUCCCCAUCUUCUUCCCCUAAAAGAAACCCCCUUCAGUUCUGACUUUCAAGUUUUGAUCAUGGAAGAACUGAGUUUUUAUAUUGGGAUCAUAGGCAACAUCAUCUCAGUACUAAUGUUUCUUUCCCCCGUUUGUGAAUGCAGCGGAACAUUUUGGAGAAUAAUAAAGCAGCGAUCGACAGAGCAGUUUGAGAGCCUUCCUUACAUCUGCACAUUGUUGAAUUCAUCUUUGUGGACUUACUAUGGAAUUAUAAAGGCAGGGGAAUUACUCGUGGCCACUGUUAAUGGUUUUGGCAUCCUUGUCGAAACUAUCUACGUCACUUUAUUUCUUAUAUAUGCGCCUGCAAGAUCUAAGAUGACAUUAACUACAUGUGCAAAACAAAAAAUCCAGGCUAAGACAGUCAUUCUUGUCGGGUUGUUGGAUGUGGGCUUCCUAGCAGCAGCGAUUCUAGUUACUCGAUUGGCAUUGCAGGGAGAGACACGUAUUGAUGCUGUAGGGUUCCUGGGUGCAGCGCUUAACAUUGUAAUGUACAGCUCACCUCUAGCCGUCAUGAGAACAGUGGUGACAACCAAGAGUGUGGAGUACAUGCCGUUCUUUCUCUCAUUUUUUCUCUUCUUGAACGGUGGGACUUGGGCUUUCUAUGCUCUUCUCGUGCGCGAUUACUUCCUUUUGGUACGUACCAAAUGGAUCUGGGUUUCUACUUGGAACAGUGCAGCUAGUGCUAUAUGCAAUUUACAGGAAGCCCAACCUGUCCAAAAAUGUUUCUGAUCAUAGACUGGAAGAAGGAUGGCAACAACAGGCCGAACCCCUCAUCUCCAGUACCUCAAGUCGAUUAAUUACAUGAAAAGGAACCACAGGGUACACCAUGAUUCCCUGACCAUAUUAAAGUAGAAUGCUAGAUCUUGGACAAACACAUUGGAAAUCUUACGAAAUAUCUCUCUCUCUCACCGCUAAGAUGUGGAGACAAGAUGCAGAGGUACGGUUUUUAGCUACGGAGAUAGCUUUUGUAAAAGCCAAAGCUUUGAUAUCAAUAUUCUAACUCAGA